CGGCCACCUGCUGGCUAGCUUGACCAAAAAUAAACCCGGCGCCGACGACGACGCCACAAUGAUGGCCGGCCGGCGAAGCGCCCACGUCGACGCCGCCGUCAUCGCCGCCGCCGCCCUCCUCCUCCUCGCCGCGACGGCGGCGGAGGGCGCCGUGUCCAGCUGGGAGUCCAACUCCGACGAGGACUACCACAUCUUCGUGGACAACCGCAUGUCGGACAACAUGCACCUGAGCUGCUACGCCGUGCAGGGCGGCGGCCGGAGCGAGUUCUACCACAGCUUCCGCGCCGACCCCGGGAGGGAGGUGCAGCUGCCGUACCUGCAGCCGGCGCCCAACGCCCGCCUCGUCUGCAAGUGGGCGUGCGCGGGGAACUACCUGAAGGGCGUCACCCUCUUCAGCUCGUCGUGGCGGGAGGCCACCUCCGGCGAGUGCCGCCGCCGCGGCGGCGGCUGCAACGUGGUGUUCGACGGGCACGAGAUGUUCGUCGACGGCCGCUCGGGCGGCGGCGGGAGGAGGCUGCUCGGCGACCUGCCGCAGCACGAGUGCCAGAAGAUGCUGCUGGUGUUCAACCGCCGCUGCUGGUUCAAGUCGCACCGCCACCCCUACGUCGGCCGCGCCAUGAACGGCCUCACCGACUACCUCAUGGCGUAGCACCCAUGCAUGCACACACAAUUACGCCCUCCGUUUCAUAUCAAACUAGCCAUCUUAACUUUGAUCAAAUUUAUGAAAAAACGUAGCAACAUUUUUCAUAUCAAAAUAUAUUUACGGUUAGAUUUAACAAAACUAAUUUGAUGUUUUAGAUGUUGCUAUUGUUUUCUAUAAACUCAAUAAAAAAUUUUAAAAAAUUAAUUAGGAAAAAGAUCAAGCAUCUUAUAUAAUAUGAAACGGAGGGAGUAACUAAUACGUAUACGUGUAUUCUUACACAUGUACGUACGUAUAUAUGGCAGCGGACGGUUUCGAUGAUGUGUAUGUAUGUUGAUUGAUUCCUGUCAAAUUAAUUUCUAGAGGAUUAAGCCUUAGAAGGUGAUCACGGUCGAUGUACUUUGAAUUUUGACGAAUUAAUUAAUUUAAAUUGUAAAGGUGGUGAAAUUUUUUG
RNAcentral lists this long non-coding RNA (1094 nucleotides) under Oryza sativa aus subgroup. RNAcentral's name for it is "lncRNA OsN22_09G004680". Lineage: Eukaryota; Viridiplantae; Streptophyta; Magnoliopsida; Poales; Poaceae. The record is from RNAcentral.